Molecule: non-coding RNA, 628 nt
Organism: Peromyscus leucopus (white-footed mouse)
Lineage: Eukaryota; Metazoa; Chordata; Mammalia; Rodentia; Cricetidae
Source: the annotation of a RefSeq genome assembly
AAGAACAGCCCCUCCUCCCAGAACUGCUGCAGGUGCCUGGAGCCAGGGCCUUGCUCUCUGCUCUCACUCCCCUUCUGCUACACUAGGAAGACCAUUUUGAACAUCUUAUAUUUUUGGUUGUGAGCCUAGCCUUUAACGGCUGAGCCAUCUCUCCAGCCCCAUUUUGAACAUCUUAAGAAUCUUCCUUCCACUCUAGUCCCCAUAAUUAGGCAGGUGGAGCCCCUGGCUAAGCUGCUUUCCUUGUUUGCUGAGAGUUGAAGAAAACAUCUUCCCCACUAUGAGCAAGCAGACACUCUGCUGGGUAGCCUUUUGUUUCCUUGCAGCGGGAAUCACUCAUGGUCGCAUUACUCAGACACCCAAAUUCCUGAUCGGACAGCAAGGGCAGAGAUUGACCUUGGAAUGUGAACAAGAUUUUAAUCACGAUAACAUGUACUGGUACCGACAGGAUCCAGGCAAAGGACUGAGACUGAUCUAUUAUUCAAUAACUGAAAAAGAUAUCCAGAAAGGGGACCUAUCUGAAGGCUAUGAUGUCUCUCGAAAUAAGAAGCCAUCUUUCCCUCUCACUGUGACAUCUGCCCAGAAGAACCAGAUGGCUUUCUACCUCUGUGCCAGCAGUAUAGCACAGUGA